CUACGUGCCAGCAGCCGCGGUAAUACGUAUGUCACAAGCGUUAUCCGGAUUUAUUGGGCGUAAAGCGCGUCUAGGUGGUUAUGUAAGUCUGAUGUGAAAAUGCAGGGCUCAACUCUGUAUUGCGUUGGAAACUGCAUGACUAGAGUAUUGGAGAGGUAAGCGGAACUACAAGUGUAGAGGUGAAAUUCGUAGAUAUUUGUAGGAAUGCCGAUGGGGAAGCCAGCUUACUGGACAGAUACUGACGCUAAAGCGCGAAAGCGUGGGUAGCAAACAGGAUUAGAUACCCUGGUAGUCCACGCCGUAAACGAUGAUUACUAGGUGUUGGGGGUCGAACCUCAGCGCCCAAGCUAACGCGAUAAGUAAUCCGCCUGGGGAGUACGUACGCAAGUAUGAAACUCAAAGGAAUUGACGGGGACCCGCACAAGCGGUGGAGCAUGUGGUUUAAUUCGACGCAACGCGAGGAACCUUACCAGCGUUUGACAUC
RNAcentral lists this ribosomal RNA (484 nucleotides) under uncultured bacterium. RNAcentral's name for it is "bacterial SSU rRNA". It matches the Rfam family "Bacterial small subunit ribosomal RNA", at positions 501 to 988 of the family's 1533-position model. The record is from RNAcentral.